RNAcentral lists this ribosomal RNA (612 nucleotides) under uncultured bacterium. RNAcentral describes it as "bacterial SSU rRNA". It matches the Rfam family "Bacterial small subunit ribosomal RNA", at positions 338 to 950 of the family's 1533-position model. The record is from RNAcentral.
CCUACGGGAGGCAGCAGUAAGGAAUAUUGGACAAUGCUCGCAAGAGUGAUCCAGCCAUGCCGCGUGCAGGAAGAAUGCCCUAUGGGUAGUAAACUGCUUUUGAACUAGAGAAAACCCCAGUACGUGUACUGGGCUGAUAGUAUAGUUAGAAUAAGCAUCGGCUAACUUCGUGCCAGCAGCCGCGGUAAGACGAAGGAUGCAAGCGUUAUCCGGAUUCAUUGGGUUUAAAGGGAGCGUAGGUGGACUGAUAAGUCAGUGGUGAAAUCUCCGAGCUUAACUCGGAAAUUGCCAUUGAUACUGUUGGUCUUGAGUACAGUUGCUGUGGGCGGAAUAUGACAUGUAGUGGUGAAAUACAUAGAGAUGUCAUAGAACACCGAUUGCGAAGGCAGCUCACAAAGCUGUAACUGACACUGAGGCUCGAAAGUGCGGGGAUCAAACAGGAUUAGAUACCCUGGUAGUCCGCACCGUAAACGAUGAUUACUCGCUGCUAGGGGGCAACCUUUAGUGGCUUAGCGAAAGCGAUAAGUAAUCCACCUGGGGAGUACGCCGGCAACGGUGAAACGUCAAAUGAAUUGACCGGNGUUGAGAGNGCGAGCGACGACGAGGGAGAGG